This 769-nucleotide ribosomal RNA is filed under the name Platygyra sinensis. Its description in RNAcentral is "eukaryotic LSU rRNA". It matches the Rfam family "Eukaryotic large subunit ribosomal RNA", at positions 37 to 634 of the family's 3401-position model. Lineage: Eukaryota; Metazoa; Cnidaria; Anthozoa; Scleractinia; Merulinidae. The record is from RNAcentral.
AGCAUAUUAAUAAGCGGAGGAAAAGAAACUAACAAGGAUUCCCUCAGUAACGGCGAGUGAAGCGGGAAGAGCUCAAAUUUGAAAUCUCCGAUGCUUGCAUCGGCGAGUUGUAGUUGCGAGAAGCACUUUCUAGGCGGAUCGACGGUGCCUAAGUUGCUUGGAACGGCACGUCGCAGAGGGUGACAACCCCGUCUGUGGCGCCGCCGGCCGCCGACGAUGUGCUUUCGAAGAGUCGGGUUGUUUGGGAAUGCAGCCCAAAACGGGUGGUAAACUCCAUCUAAAGCUAAAUACUGGCGUGAGACCGAUAGCGAACAAGUACCGUGAGGGAAAGAUGAAAAGAACUUUGAAAAGAGAGUUAAAAAGUACGUGAAACCGUCGAAAGGGAAACGAAUGGACUCAGCAAUGCGCCCUCUGAGAUUCAGCCGGUGGGUGGCGGCGGCGCCGGGUUUGCGGAUCUGAAUGGACCGCGGCCUGGCGCCCGCCUCUCCCCGCCGUCGCACUUCUCUGGGGCGCGCGUCAACGUGGGUUGGGACUGGGUCUGAAAGGCGCCGGGAAGGUAGGUGUGGGCCUUCGGGUCCGUUCUGUUACAGCCCGGUUCUCUCAUGGCUCGGGCCCGACCGAGGAGUGACACGGGGCAUGCCUCCUGUGGCUAGGGUCCCGCCCUUCCGGCCGGCUGUCCAGUGCGGUGGACUGCUUGCAGUGCUCCGCGACGGCUGCCGGUCGUUGGGGUGGUGAUCUCGUACCAUGCCCCUAGGAUGUUGGCGGUCAU